AACGAACGCUGGCGGCAUGCCUAACACAUGCAAGUCGAACGAGACCUUCGGGUCUAGUGGCGCACGGGUGCGUAACGCGUGGGAACCUGCCCUUAGGUUCGGAAUAACUCCCCGAAAGGGGUGCUAAUACCGGAUAAUGUCUUCGGACCAAAGAUUUAUCGCCUUUGGAUGGGCCCGCGUUGGAUUAGCUAGUUGGUAGGGUAAAAGCCUACCAAGGCGACGAUCCAUAGCUGGUCUGAGAGGAUGAUCAACCACACUGGGACUGAGACACGGCCCAGACUCCUACGGGAGGCAGCAGUGGGGGAUAUUGGACAAUGGGCGAAAGCCUGAUCCAGCAAUGCCGGGUGAGUGAUGAAGGCCUUAGGGUUGUAAAGCUCUUUUACCCGGGAUGAUAAUGACAGUACCGGGAGAAUAAGCUCCGGCUAACUCCGUG
Molecule: ribosomal RNA, 433 nt
Filed under: uncultured bacterium
Lineage: Bacteria
Description: partial 16S ribosomal RNA
Rfam family: Bacterial small subunit ribosomal RNA
Source: RNAcentral